UGUCAGGAGUUAUGAAAUGCGGUUGGCAGAAUACGCCGGCCGUUUGACAAAGGCUCCAGAGGAAGCCACGGCUAACUUCGUGCCAGCAGCCGCGGUAACACGAAGGUGGCGAGCGUUGUUCGGAAUUAUUGGGCAUAAAGGGCACGUAGGCGGAGGGAUCAGUCGGACGUGAAAGCCCCCGGCUCAACCGGGGAAUUGCUUCCGAUACUGCCUCUCUGGAGUGCAGGAGGGGAGAGUGGAACUUCUGGUA
This 250-nucleotide ribosomal RNA is filed under the name uncultured anaerobic ammonium-oxidizing bacterium. RNAcentral's name for it is "partial 16S ribosomal RNA". It matches the Rfam family "Bacterial small subunit ribosomal RNA", at positions 434 to 675 of the family's 1533-position model. The record is from RNAcentral.